CGCAGCCGCGGUAAUUCCAGCUCCAAUAGCGUAUAUUAAAGUUGUUGCAGUUAAAAAGCUCGUAGCUGAAUUUCGGAAUCAGUAUGUUGGUCGUGCUUCGGUACGUACUGUCAUUACUGGUUUCUACCUUCUGAAGAACCUUGAUGUCAUUAAUUUGGUGUCUUGGGGAAUCAGGACUGUUACUUUGAAAAAUUAGAGUGUUUAAAGCAAGCAUACGCUUGAAUACAUUAGCAUGGAAUAAUGAAAUAGGACGUUUGAUUCUAUUUUGUUGGUUUCUAGGAUCGACGUAAUGAUUAAUAGGGAUAGUUGGGGGCAUUAGUAUUCAAUUGUCAGGGGUGAAAUUCUUGGAUUUAUUGAAGACUAACUACUGCGAAAGCAUUUGCCAAGGAUGUUUUCAUUAAUCAAGAACGAAGGUUAGGGGAUCGAAGACGAUCAGAUACCGUCGUAGUCUUAACCAUAAACUAUGCCGACUAGGGAUCGGAUGAUGUUAUUUUUAAUGACUCAUUUCGGCGCCUUAAAC
RNAcentral lists this unclassified non-coding RNA (520 nucleotides) under uncultured Glomus. Its description in RNAcentral is "SSU rRNA". It matches the Rfam family "Eukaryotic small subunit ribosomal RNA", at positions 569 to 1093 of the family's 1831-position model. The record is from RNAcentral. Lineage: Eukaryota; Fungi; Glomeromycota; Glomeromycetes; Glomerales; Glomeraceae.